CCUACGGGAGGCAGCAGUGAGGAAUAUUGGUCAAUGGACGCAAGUCUGAACCAGCCAUGCCGCGUGCAGGAAGACGGCUCUAUGAGUUGUAAACUGCUUUUGUACGAGGGUAAACGCAGAUACGCGUAUCUGUCUGAAAGUAUCUUACGAAUAAGGAUCGGCUAACUCCGUGCCAGCAGCCGCGGUAAUCCGGAGGAUUCAAGCGUUAUCCGGAUUUAUUGGGUUUAAAGGGUGCGUAGGCGGUCGGUUAAGUUAGCGGUGAAAUCCCGGGGCUCAACUUCGGAAUUGCCGUUGAGACUGGUCGGCGAGAGAGGAGGUGCGGUAGGCGGAAUGUAUGGUGUAGCGGUGAAAUGCUUAGAGAUCGUACAGAACACCGAUUGCGAAGGCAGCAUACCAAGCGACGUCUGACGUUGAGGCACGAAAGCGUGGGGAGCAAACAGGAUUAGAUACCCGGGUAGUC
This 460-nucleotide ribosomal RNA is filed under the name uncultured bacterium. RNAcentral's name for it is "partial 16S ribosomal RNA". It matches the Rfam family "Bacterial small subunit ribosomal RNA", at positions 338 to 795 of the family's 1533-position model. The record is from RNAcentral.